GAUCCCAGCUGGCUACUGCUUUGUAGAAUUUGCAGAUUUGGCCACAGCUGAGAAGUGUUUGCAUAAAAUUAAUGGGAAACCCCUUCCAGGAGCCACACCUGCGAAACGUUUUAAACUGAACUAUGCCACUUAUGGGAAACAACCAGAUAACAGCCCUGAGUAUUCCCUCUUUGUGGGGGACCUGACCCCGGACGUGGAUGAUGGCAUGCUGUAUGAAUUCUUCGUCAAAGUCUACCCCUCCUGUCGGGGAGGCAAGGUGGUUUUGGACCAGACAGGCGUGUCUAAGGGUUAUGGUUUUGUGAAAUUCACAGAUGAACUGGAACAGAAGCGAGCCCUGACGGAGUGCCAGGGAGCAGUGGGACUGGGGUCUAAGCCUGUGCGGCUGAGCGUGGCAAUCCCUAAAGCGAGCCGUGUAAAGCCAGUGGAAUAUAGUCAGAUGUACAGUUAUAGCUACAACCAGUAUUAUCAGCAGUACCAGAACUACUAUGCUCAGUGGGGCUAUGACCAGAACACAGGCAGCUACAGCUACAGUUACCCCCAGUAUGGCUAUACCCAGAGCACCAUGCAGACAUAUGAAGAAGUUGGAGAUGAUGCAUUGGAAGAGGCAGGGUUUCACCAUGUUGCCCAGGCUGGUCUUGAACUCCUAGGUUCAAGUGAUCUGCCCAUCUCGGCCUUCCAAAGUGCUGGCAUUAUAGGCAUGAGCCACUGCUCCUGGCCAAAACUUUAUUUGAGACCCCAUGCCACAGCUGGAUGUGACUGAGGCCAACAAGGAGUUCAUGGAACAGAGUGAGGAGCUGUAUGACGCUCUGAUGGACUGUCACUGGCAGCCCCUGGACACAGUGUCUUCAGAGAUCCCUGCCAUGAUGUAGCCAGGCCAAAGGACAAGCCAGGUUGCGUGAUGUGAGGGAGAUGAGAGACUCCUUUUUAAAAAUUGUGAAACCUUUUUGGAAAUAUGAUUUGUAAGAUUUUAAUGACUGUUUCUGGAGAUCAUGAAUGUUUCUACAA
Molecule: small RNA, 1005 nt
Filed under: Pan troglodytes (chimpanzee)
Lineage: Eukaryota; Metazoa; Chordata; Mammalia; Primates; Hominidae
Description: processed transcript
Source: RNAcentral